UCCGGAGUUACUGGGCGUAAAGCGCGGGCAGGCGGCUCGCAACGUCUGAUGUGAAAUCUCCUCGCUCAACGGGGAGAGGCCAUUGGAAACGGUCGAGCUGGAGGGCAGUAGAGGUAGGCGGAAUUCCGGGUGGAGUGGUGAAAUGCGUAGAGAUCCGGAGGAACACCAGAGGCGAAGGCGGCCUACUGGGCUGCACCUGACGCUGAGCCGCGAAAGCCAGGGGAGCGAACGGG
Molecule: ribosomal RNA, 233 nt
Filed under: uncultured bacterium
Lineage: Bacteria
Description: partial 16S ribosomal RNA
Rfam family: Bacterial small subunit ribosomal RNA
Source: RNAcentral